GUGGGGAAUCUUCCGCAAUGGACGAAAGUCUGACGGAGCAACGCCGCGUGAGUGAUGAAGGUCUUCGGAUUGUAAAGCUCUGUUAAUCGGGACGAAAGAGCCUAGUGUGAAUAAUGCUAGGAAGUGACGGUACCGGAAUAGAAAGCCACGGCUAACUACGUGCCAGCAGCCGCGGUAAUACGUAGGUGGCAAGCGUUGUCCGGAAUUAUUGGGCGUAAAGCGCGCGCAGGCGGAUCUGCCAGUGUGUCCUAAAAGUUCGGGGCUUAACCCCGUGAUGGUAUGGAAACUACAUAUCUAGAGUAUCGGAGAGGAAAGUGGAAUUCCUAGUGUAGCGGUGAAAUGCGUAGAUAUUAGGAAGAACACCAGUGGCGAAGGCGACUUUCUGGACGAAAACUGACGCUGAGGCGCGAAAGCCAGGGGAGCGAACGGGAUUAGAAACCCUGGUAGUCC
Molecule: ribosomal RNA, 450 nt
Filed under: uncultured bacterium
Lineage: Bacteria
Description: partial 16S ribosomal RNA
Rfam family: Bacterial small subunit ribosomal RNA
Source: RNAcentral